CAGCCCCUCGAGUGGUGGGGAUGAUUAUUUGGCCUAAAGCGUCCGUAGCCGGCCGAGUAAGUCCCCCGUUAAAUCCAGUGUCUCAAGCGUUGGACUGCGGGAGAUACUACUUGGCUAGAGAGUGGGAGAGGUCAGCGGUAUUCUGGGGGUAGGGGCGAAAUCCUUUGAUCCCCGGAGGACCACCAGUGGCGAAGGCUGCUGACUAGAACACGUCUGACGGUCAGGGACGAAAGCUGGGGUAGCAAACCGGAUUAGAUACCCGAGUAGUCC
Molecule: ribosomal RNA, 270 nt
Filed under: uncultured archaeon
Lineage: Archaea
Description: partial 16S ribosomal RNA
Rfam family: Archaeal small subunit ribosomal RNA
Source: RNAcentral